Long non-coding RNA from Oreochromis niloticus (Nile tilapia), 1006 nucleotides. RefSeq lists it as uncharacterized. The transcript has 3 exons. Lineage: Eukaryota; Metazoa; Chordata; Actinopteri; Cichliformes; Cichlidae. The record is from RefSeq and is a predicted model, not a curated record.
AGGCCCGUGCCGCUGCAGCCGUGGCAGGCUGGCGGAGCUGCAGUGCCACCACCACUGGACACGUGGCAGGCCACCACAACCAUUUCGCCGCUGCUGCCUGACCCAUGGCUGCCUGCCGGUGCUGCAACGCCGCCACCACUGGGCCUGUGGUUGGCCACCUGAACUUUCUCACUGUUGGACUUGUGUCGGGCCGCCAACAUCACCGCCUGCCGGCUUGGCCAACUGGACUGUUUCAAACCCCCGCCAGGAGCGCGGCCAGGUAUUUGAACUAUUAAACUGGGACUUGUUUUUUGUUUUUUGGCUGGAGUGUUUCUGGCCCUCCAUCCUGUACCUCCCACCACCCGACCCGGGUUGGUUGGCCUUGCUGCUGGUUUUGUUUUCGGGUUGUUGUUGUUUUUUUGGGGCCUCAGGAGCCAGCCCUUAGAGGGGGGGUACUGUCAUGGCCUGGGUCUGGUGACCCAGAGCUCAUGUAUUACUUGUAUAUGUUUUUCCGUAUGUUAUGUUUUUGGUGGUUUUCUCUCCCUUUGUCCUUUCUCCCUGUGUUCUCCCGGAUGUUUUGGGGUCGCUGAGGGGACUGCGACCCGGAAGUGUUCCCGCACUGGAGGCUGCCGCACCUGCCGCUCAUUAGCCUUCCCCAGCUGCAGCUGAUAGCCUCAUGAGGAGCGUCUUAUUUAAGAAGGUGGCGGAGCUCCAGUUGACGCGGGAUUAUACUAAGUCGAACCUGAGUCAGGAACGUUGUCACAAGGGGAAUCAUGGAGUGGAAUCGGGUUUUAGGAGUUGUCACCUUUUCACUGUUAUGGACACGUGCACUGUGUGGGCUUCAUAGAGGAAUCGACACAGGAGUCACAGUGCUGGAAUUGAAACGAACGACACGGAGAGAUGGAAGGAGAGACGUCACUAGUUCACGAGAGCUGUGUGGACACACGAGGGGAGCACUGAAGGGACUUUGCACUGUGGAUAACUGUGGAUUGGCUUCACUGUAAAUAAAGACACUGUUCAACUUUAA